UUUGGCGGCUUUAGCGCGGUGAAUUUACCUGACCAUGCCGAACUCAAGUGAAACGCCGUAGCGCCGAUGGUAGUGUGGGGUCUCCCCCAUGUGAGUAGUAGAGACUGCCGGGC
Molecule: ribosomal RNA, 113 nt
Filed under: Enterobacter cloacae subsp. cloacae
Lineage: Bacteria; Pseudomonadati; Pseudomonadota; Gammaproteobacteria; Enterobacterales; Enterobacteriaceae
Source: RNAcentral